GAGCGUCCAGAGCGGGCCCCGCUUCAGGGGUGAAGGCGACAGCGACGGCUCUGUGGGCCACAAGUUUCAUACCUUUGUGGUGUGAGAAGCUGCAUCAUUUUUGUGGGCUCGUGCGGGAUAACUUCGGAGUGGCAGGUCAAUCACUACCAUCCCAUCCAGUCGGAGCGAGUCUGAAUGCAGCAAGCGGGUCUCGGCCUCUGGGCCUCCCUGCCUACACAGCCGUCCCACACAGCCAUCCUCUGGGGCUCUGACCUCGGCGCUGCCACCACUCCAGCCUCUGCUCUCCUCUCCUGCAACCUCGUAGCCGUGUCACCGUGUCACCCAGAGCACUGGAUGGAGCUCUUUCUAUAGAGUCAAUAGCAACAUAUUGCCCACAUGAGUGGUGAGCUAGCCGACUAGGCCCAGGUGAGAAUCCUGGCCACAGGAACUUUGAUUUUAUCCACACUUAACAUACUCUGUAGCAAACACACAAUAACUCAGCCCACCUUGGAGGCAGGGAGGGCAGUCUUAACUGAUAUGCUCCCCAACCAGGAAGCUGCUCUCUGGGAGGGAAUCCAUCAGAGCAGGGCAUUUCUUGUGUUUAGCUAAUUUUGCAUAAUGACCCGGAGGACCGAUAAGAACCUUCAUGUCUCAUCUUGAGACCACUUCACAGGUCCACACCCCUAGCCCUUUGUCACAUUCCUGAUAAAUCCUUCCAAGGGGGAGCCCCCACCCUUUCAGUGCGCCUCCCUCUCUGAGGUAGCCCACACUCCCCUCUCUCUGAGUGUGCACUUUCUCUCUGUAAAUAAAACUUUUACUCUACUU
This is a long non-coding RNA of Manis pentadactyla (Chinese pangolin), 804 nucleotides long. RefSeq lists it as uncharacterized. NCBI's taxonomy places the organism in Eukaryota, Metazoa, Chordata, Mammalia, Pholidota, Manidae. The record is from RefSeq and is a predicted model, not a curated record. The transcript has 3 exons.